RNAcentral lists this long non-coding RNA (2181 nucleotides) under Nicotiana tabacum (common tobacco). RNAcentral's name for it is "long non-coding RNA (NTAB_LNC001593)". The record is from RNAcentral. Lineage: Eukaryota; Viridiplantae; Streptophyta; Magnoliopsida; Solanales; Solanaceae.
ACCCCCCCUCUUCACCCAAUAUUCACCAUCGUCCCAGAGCCCCCUCCUCUCAAACCCUAGCGCCGCCCCCUUUCCCCUCACCAUAAACCCGGCGGCAAGGAUGCCGGCGACCACCACCUUAACACCCUAGGACCACCUCAACCCCCUGAACACAGAUCCACUAACCGUGGGUCUCGAAUCCCCCCCCACCAUCUCGAAUCUUCAUUUGAAGAUUCGAGUCGGACCUCGACCUAUACCAAACCAACCCAAAUCCACACUAGACACUCCCCUGACCUCCCUCGUGACCAAACCAGGCUUGGUUUGGUCAGAAUCUACCCACAAAUCCCAAAACCCCAAAUCUGAAGAAUCGAACCCUAGAACACAAGAAUUUGUGGGGACUGUUUGGAUAUAAACGGAAGUUUGGGGUCUAGUAGAUCCUAAUCGAAGUGUUCUCGUUCGAGAACACCUCAGUUAGGAUUUGUCCGACCUCAAAUGGGAAAAUCAAGCUCGGGCCUGGGUCAUCCGUGUUAAAACUUUUCCGGUUUGUUCACUUCUCCCUUUUGUUAUCUAUUUUAGUCUAGAUUAGUUUUUCUGCAUUUUUAUUUAGUUUGUUUGUUUAUUUUGGGUUUUCUGUUGUCAGUUGUUCUUCAUCUCAAUAAAACCUUCUAUUUGGUUGAUUUGUUCAUUCUGUUGUGAUGAAUCUGUAUAGUAGUAUACAUAUUUCAAUAUGAUUAACAUCGUCGAAUCAAUAAUGCCUGGUUUUUCCCUGUAUCGUGCAAAUUUGUCAAGAAUAGUUCAUGCCCUAUUUGUAUUAUCUGUUUAAUCGACUGAUUGUUAGACGUUAUAAUUAAUAUAGUCGAUUAGAUAAACGUCGUCGAUUAGUUUCAUAGGACUGGAUGUUCAAAUGUCCUGAUUCUUGAUAACUUCAUAUGAUUUGAUCGAACCAUUGUCGAUUAGCUGGUUGUUUGAAAACUAUCUGUGAAUGGUUUGUUAGCUAUAAUACAAUAGUUGGAAUUCAGUUAGGAUAGUUGUUGAAUUUGAACUCCCAUAAGUUCAGAAUUUCACUUUUGUUGAAGUAGGGAUAAAACAGAAAUGGUCAGGGGUUUUAAAGGUUUGGUUUGGGGUUAUAAAAUUCUGAAAUGCUUAAAGGAAAGAUGAGCUGACAAUAAGGUACUAAAACAUUGAUCCAACUAAUGGAAUUAAUUGACCAAUAGUGGAAUUAAUGACAUAUUGAGUGCCUUUAAUGGCUGGAAAUCAGAAAAGCAUGGCAAUUUGUAGUUCUUUAAUGAAUUAGGGUCAAUUGGACAGCAUGUGCUGUCAGGAUACAUUCCUGCUGCCCAUGUUUGGCUUAGUUUAAUAAAAUGAUAAGGCAUUUUAAUAAUGAAAAUAGUUUUGUCAGGGGAAUCUCAUGGGAAGGGUUUUAUUUUAUCUUUGAGUGGAAAAACAGCAGGAGAACAUGGGAGGGGGUUUGAAUGGUCUAACAGGCUGUUUUGAAUGGGCUGAUGCUAGGAUAAAUAGAGGAGAACACAAGCAAAAAAAAAGGACAGUUGAAAAAAAAAGGAGAGGUCAGUGAGUAUUGAAAGCAUAAGCUGAAAAAUUAUUGAGUGUUCAGAGAAGAACAAAACUGUUUAGUUCUAAAGGGUUGGUAUGUUACUAUCUCGUUAGGGUAUUCUGAUUUCCCUGUGAGAGUACUACUGUAAUCUAGGCUUCUGUAUGCUGUUGAUUGAGUUUGGUUUUAUUGCUAUUGAACCUAUUGUUGGUUGUUCGUCGAGUUUGUUGUGAUUAUUGAACUGUUGUCACUAUUGCAUUGGAUAUUCUGGGUUUUUCUGUUGGUUUACUACUCUGUUCUGGGAUUGGUGGUUGAUUGCUCGACCACCUGUGGGUUUGUCAUUGUCGUGGAACUGCUGUUGCUGUUUAUUGCUGCCGUAUCACUAUUGUAUUACUGCUGUCUGGUUGCAUGCUGCUGAUAUUAUUCUUCUUCUCAUUCUUAUUGUCCAACAUCCAGGUACACAUUCUAAUUUCACUGGUGUAAUGAUGAAUUUGGAGCAUGAAUAAGAGCAUAAGAAGAAUUGCAGUCUAAACUCAGCAUAGUUUUUUUUUUUGCUGUUUGUGGUUUAGAAUAUCUCUGUAUACUUGACAUGUAAAGUUUGGCUUUCAAGCUGUGUAAUGAAACAGUUUUCAGUCCAUAAGAGUUUGGCCCGG